ACGAUUUUUUUUUCUCGAAAUUUAACAAAUACCUGGUAUGCAACAGCUUUUAAGGCAAUUCUUCCCACAGCCAGCGCUACGACGAGCAGUAUCGUCCGCUUCAUCCUUUUGGUAAUUAGAAACGACAGUCGGAACCCUCUUAAUCCUAAGCAUCAUCUUUGCUACUAUUUCUUUUCUUCUUAUAAGCGAUCUAAAAAAGCUUCUUCAAUGGAAUUUUUUUAUAUAUCUAUGGAAGAUUAAAAGAUAUCUAUAUAUAUACAGCUGAAACUCUAAAAGACAAUACCACCACCAGCAAGGAAGAGGAGAUCGGAAGGACUACCACCUUCAGAAGGCAAAGCUCCACGCCCACCGUGCGGCGAAGGGUUGCUUUCGUUCACACAACCCUUACGUCGUACAGUACGGACAUGAAU
This 410-nucleotide long non-coding RNA is filed under the name Gossypium barbadense (sea-island cotton). Its description in RNAcentral is "long non-coding RNA (GBAR_LNC002824)". Lineage: Eukaryota; Viridiplantae; Streptophyta; Magnoliopsida; Malvales; Malvaceae. The record is from RNAcentral.